AUUUUUUUUUUAAAAUUCUUUCUCAUUUAUUUUAUUUCAUAAAAACAAAAUGAUUGCAUUAUAUUUGUUAAAAAUGUGAACUUACAAAAAGCUGUACACAUUGUGUAAUGUUUAGGGGUUGCAUUGAAAGAGCCAAUCAAAUGCAACAAACAGCUUUCGCUUUUUAAAUGCACAAAACAAGUUAAUACUGUAGAAAAUGUGUCAAUCAACGCACAAUUCACUUGUGAACAAAUUACACACACAGUAACUUUUAAAAAAGAAAAACCCAAAAACUUAAUUGCUUUGAAAUAAAAGAAAAAACAAUUAUUAGUAAAAAAAAAUUUUUUUUAAUUAAAUAUGAAGACAAUAAAACCAUACGAUCUGUAUAAUAGUUUUGUAACUACAUUCUGUAUAUAUAUAUAUAUAUUUUGGGAAAGAGGAGGUGGGCAGUUAUAGUCCAUAGAACAUUUCCAGAGACUAGUCAAUGAAAGAUCUUUACAACAAAUCUUCAAUAAUAUACAGCUGUUACUUUCUAUUUGUUGACUGAAUUAUAUUUAGAUGGUGCUGCUGAAGUAGAACACCUUUAGAGGAGUAAAUAAUUUAUACCCAAUUGACCAAAGCUCUCAUUAUAGUGUGAAUGUGUUGUAAAGAAUAAAACGUAGGUGCUAUUUCUUGUUGUUUUUAGCUAAUAGUUUUGAAAAUGGUAUAAAUAUUAAAUGUCAUUAUAUCAUACAACAUUUGUAUUAGUGAAGUCCCCAGAAUCCAAUUCAUACUGCAAAAAAAUGUCAAUUUAUUUUCUUUACAUUUAAACUUCACUUUAUUUCUGCUUUACACCAACACAUUCAUUUAUAAAACCAAUUGAAUACUUUGUCUUCUUUAAAGCUGUGAAAAAACUGAUUACAUAAUUUUUAUUAUUGUAUGAAUCAAAAGUAAAGAUGACAUAGCAAUUUUACUGUCACUGAGUGAGUAAGCUAAAUAAACAAAAACUAUUUUUUUUUUUAAAGAAAGCAAAGAUAUAUAAAUUGUUUUAAAUGUAUAUAAUUUUAAUUUGACAAGACAUUUAAAAAGACAUUCAAAAGAGCAUUUUAAAAAUCAUCUAUUUCUUUCUCAAUUCAAAAUUUAAAUGAGAAAUAAUUUUAAACCUUUCUUUUUUUCACAUGCUUGAUUCUAAAUGAAUAUCCAAAAUAGAUACUGGUUGAAAAAAGACAAUAAGAAACAACCCUGUAUCUAAAAAUAAAACAUUUCAAUAGCUUACUGGUCACAGUAGCUAAUGUUCAAACAUGAUAUGUUCAAUUACUCUCUGAGGGGAGAAACUCUGGACACACUAACAAUAUUUUUGUUUGGUGAUGACUCCAGUAGACAAUUAGCUCAAAAGUAAAUGAUUGGAAUUAAUUUUAUUCAACAUGCUUUCUUUUCCUGAUGUGAAAUAAUCCAUUUGAAAAAAAAAAAAAGGUUAAUACGUUUGACAUGAUAAUCAAAUGUUGCACUCAAGACAAUAGAACGUGGACUAUCAAUUAGUCAAAACAAUAGAACGUGGACUAUCAAUUAGUCAAGACAAUAGAACGUGGACUAUCAAUUAGUCAAGAC
Biomphalaria pfeifferi is the source of this 1566-nucleotide non-coding RNA. NCBI's taxonomy places the organism in Eukaryota, Metazoa, Mollusca, Gastropoda, Planorbidae. The record is from the annotation of a GenBank genome assembly.